RNAcentral lists this long non-coding RNA (1630 nucleotides) under Nicotiana tabacum (common tobacco). RNAcentral's name for it is "long non-coding RNA (NTAB_LNC012875)". Lineage: Eukaryota; Viridiplantae; Streptophyta; Magnoliopsida; Solanales; Solanaceae. The record is from RNAcentral.
GACAUUGUUCAAUCCACAAAGACCUCAACUACACAACUUUGGCUACUUGAUAAAGGAUGCAUGUCACAAAGACAUUGUCAUCCACACAACAAAUGCCUCAUUAAAAACUCUGAACUCUGCUACCUUACUGUCGUUCACCUUUUUCCAACAUUUGGAUUAAUAGGAACUCAAACCUCUUCAACCACACUUCGUCCAUCACACGCCAAAAAAAAUUACGAUACAAAUGGCUGAAUUCAUUUCACUCGCCCAGAUUAAUGUGCCAUCAAAACCUAGGCUUCACAUACCAAUAAGAUGGCUCCCACCUACUAACCAGUACAAGCUAAACAUUGAUGGAGCUUAUGACAAAAACAAUCAAACAAAUGGCACUGGUGGACUCAUCAGAGACCACCAUGGCAAUUGGAUAGCGGGGUUUGCGCAGAAGGCAUUUGCAACAUCUGCUCUUCAUGCUGAAAUACUCGCAUUAAUAGCAAGACUAGAGCUCUCCUUCACAAAAAUAUCUUUCCCACUAUAGUGAAAACAGAUUCACAGGUAUUAUGUAACUUAUUUUAAGACGAACACACAUGCUACUCACAUCUUCUUUAUGAUUGCAGUUUUCUUCUUGAUGUUGCUGGCAUGGAAGAAAUAACCCAUAUAUAUCGGGAAGGCAACUCUGUAGCUGAUGCUCUGGCAAAGUAUGGAAGAACCAAGCAACAGACAAUAACGGAGGGAGAAAACACUAUAUACUGGGAAACACCUGUAGAUUUUAUUUUACAAAUUUUUAUUAAAGACAAAUUGAGAAAAAUCACUAUGCGGUCUAUCCCUAUGUUAUGUAAUAACUAAACUUCUAUGAUCUAAUAUAAAGUCUCUUCUUUCAUUAGUAAAAAAAAAAGGUCUCUUAAUAAUGCAAUAAUCAAUCCUCUUUCACAAGGGAUUUUCAGAAAAGGCAAACCUAUGGAAUGCUCCCAAGCAAAUAAUUCAUAGAAAUGACCAAUCAAUUUCGCAGUCAAAAUUUCGUUGAUAUUGCCUCUUUCAAUUUUAGUGAAUAUGUCAAAAAAAGAGGAAUAUUCUUUUGCAUAAAUAUUUUCUGAUAAUAUCCCUUCCAAGCUGAUUCCUAAUCUCAUUUCAACAGAUUUCAUGAAUAAAAUAUUUUUUAUUCAUUUUCAACCGUUGUAAAAAAUUGUAUAUAAGUAUCCUUAAAAAUGACAACAAUUUCUUUAACUAAAAGGGGUGCCUGUAUCUACAAGAUUUCUUAAAAGAAAUUAAACUAGGCUUCAAAUAGUUUUCUUUUUCUUAAAAUUAAUCUAUAUAAUUUUAUGAAAUAAUAAGUGAGACUAUAUUUUAAAUGUUUUCCGCUUAAGAACAAUCAGUUCACUAAAAAAAUAAUUCCAAAUAAUUCUGUACAACGACAAACCAAUUGGUUGACCACAUGCCAAAAUUUUUCAUGUAUAUGUUGUGAUUUGAAUUUAUUGUCUCUUCAUUUAAAUCACUCAAAUUACUUCUUGGUUCCAUAUUUUUUUCUCUUCUUUUUGUUUCUGAUUUCUGAAAACUGGAUGAAAUAAAGCAGCUGCAAAGACUCUUUUCUUGAAUUCACUAUGCAUCACUUUCCCCAAGCAAAUCGUCACUUCAUUUUUUACUGUUACCAUACUAACCA